Molecule: transfer RNA, 100 nt
Filed under: Penicillium antarcticum
Lineage: Eukaryota; Fungi; Ascomycota; Eurotiomycetes; Eurotiales; Aspergillaceae
Rfam family: tRNA
About the family: Transfer RNA (tRNA) molecules are approximately 80 nucleotides in length.
Source: Rfam by way of RNAcentral
GGUCUCGUGGCGUAGCGGUUUAUCGCGUCCGGUUUUGAUUCAACACCACGAAGUGGUUAUCACUUCCGGAAGGUCGCCGGUUCGACCCCGGCCGGGACCU